UGGGGAAUUUUACGCAAUGGGCGAAAGCCUGACGUAGCGACACCGCGUGAACGAAGAAGCCUUUUGGGGUGUAAAGUUCUGUCGGCUGGGAAGAAGAAAAUGACGGUACCAGCAAAGGAAGCAUCGGCUAACUACGUGCCAGCAGCCGCGGUAAGACGUAGGAUGCAAGCGUUGUCCGGAUUUAUUGGGCGUAAAGAGUUCGUAGGCGGUUUGUUAAGUCUGACGUUAAAGAUCAGGGCUCAACCCUGGAAUUGCUUCGGAUACUGGCAGACUGGAGUAUGGUAGAGGUAAGUGGAAUUUCUGGUGUAGCGGUGAAAUGCGUAGAUAUCAGGAAGAACACCGGUGGCGUAGGCGACUUACUGGGCCAUAACUGACGCUGAGGAACGAAAGCCAGGGGAGCGAAUGGG
This 407-nucleotide ribosomal RNA is filed under the name uncultured bacterium. RNAcentral describes it as "bacterial SSU rRNA". It matches the Rfam family "Bacterial small subunit ribosomal RNA", at positions 355 to 776 of the family's 1533-position model. The record is from RNAcentral.